This 210-nucleotide long non-coding RNA is filed under the name Mytilus galloprovincialis (Mediterranean mussel). The record is from RNAcentral. Lineage: Eukaryota; Metazoa; Mollusca; Bivalvia; Mytilida; Mytilidae.
CCCCCUUACUCAUAUUCCCUAUCAAAAAAUGUUCGUUGUUAGAAUAAAGUACAAAGAACUUCUGAAGGAUUUGCCUUCAACUGCAAUUAUAUUGUAUGCUGGCAAAACAAAACUAUCCAUAGCCGCUGCAUGUUUAUGCACCUGUCCUGAUUGAUUCGGGGACCUGUCGUUCAGCAGUUGUCGUUUGUUGAUGCGGUUCAUUGGUAUUUU